UACAGAGGUGACAAGCGUUGUUCGGAAUUACUGGGCGUAAAGGGCGCGUAGGCGGUUCGUUAAGUCCUGUGUGAAAUCCCCCGGCUCAACUGGGGAACUGCACAGGAAACUAGCGGGCUUGAGUUCGGGAGAGGGAAGCGGAAUUCCGGGUGUAGCGGUGAAAUGCGUAGAUAUCCGGAGGAACACCGGUGGCGAAGGCGGCUUCCUGGACCGA
RNAcentral lists this ribosomal RNA (214 nucleotides) under uncultured bacterium. RNAcentral describes it as "partial 16S ribosomal RNA". It matches the Rfam family "Bacterial small subunit ribosomal RNA", at positions 524 to 737 of the family's 1533-position model. The record is from RNAcentral.